Molecule: ribosomal RNA, 207 nt
Filed under: uncultured bacterium
Lineage: Bacteria
Description: partial 16S ribosomal RNA
Rfam family: Bacterial small subunit ribosomal RNA
Source: RNAcentral
CGCGUAGGCGGUCUAAUAAGUCUGAUGUGAAAUCCCUGGACCCAAUUCAGGAAGUGCAUCGGAUACUGCUAGACUAGAGUGCAGGAGAGGAGAGCGGAAUUCCUGGUGUAGAGGUGAAAUUCGUAGAUAUCAGGAGGAACAACAGUGGCGAAGGCGGCUCUCUGGACUGUAACUGACGCUGAGGCGCGAAAGCGUGGGGAGCAAACA